UACGUAGGGUGCAAGCGUUGUCCGGAAUUAUUGGGCGUAAAGAGCUCGUAGGCGGUCUGUUGCGUCGGCUGUGAAAACCCGGGGCUCAACCCCGGGCCUGCAGCCGAUACGGGCAGACUAGAGUUCGGCAGGGGAGACUGGAAUUCCUGGUGUAGCGGUGAAAUGCGUAGAUAUUGGGAGGAACACCGGUGGCGAAGGCGGCCCCCUGGACCGGUACUGACGCUGAGGCGCGAAAGCGUGGGUAGCAAACGGG
This 253-nucleotide ribosomal RNA is filed under the name uncultured bacterium. RNAcentral's name for it is "partial 16S ribosomal RNA". It matches the Rfam family "Bacterial small subunit ribosomal RNA", at positions 524 to 776 of the family's 1533-position model. The record is from RNAcentral.